RNAcentral lists this microRNA precursor (98 nucleotides) under Dipodomys ordii (Ord's kangaroo rat). Its description in RNAcentral is "miRNA (ENSDORG00000023423.1)". The record is from RNAcentral. Lineage: Eukaryota; Metazoa; Chordata; Mammalia; Rodentia; Heteromyidae.
UUCAAUAGGCUGGUACAGGGCUGGAGAGGUGGCUCAGUGGUAGAACGCUUGCCUUGCAUGCCUGAGGCCUUGAGUUCCAUUCCUCAGCACCACAUAAG